UUUAAUUGAGAUAAAAUAAAUAUCUAAAUUUUAAGUAUAUCAUUUACAAUGAUAAGAUGUUUGAUUAACUU
This 71-nucleotide transfer RNA is filed under the name Metathoracaphis isensis. Its description in RNAcentral is "tRNA-Val". The record is from RNAcentral. Lineage: Eukaryota; Metazoa; Arthropoda; Insecta; Hemiptera; Aphididae.